AGUGAACGCUGGCGGUAGGCCUAACACAUGCAAGUCGAACGGCAGCACAGUAAGAGCUUGCUCUUACGGGUGGCGAGUGGCGGACGGGUGAGGAAUACAUCGGAAUCUACUUUUUCGUGGGGGAUAACGUAGGGAAACUUACGCUAAUACCGCAUACGACCUACGGGUGAAAGCAGGGGAUCUUCGGACCUUGCGCGAUUGAAUGAGCCGAUGUCGGAUUAGCUAGUUGGCGGGGUAAAGGCCCACCAAGGCGACGAUCCGUAGCUGGUCUGAGAGGAUGAUCAGCCACACUGGAACUGAGACACGGUCCAAACUCCUUCGGGAAGCAGCAGUUGGGAAUAUUGGACAAUGGGCGCAAGCCUUAUCCAGCCAUACCGCGUUGGUUGAAGAGGCCUUCGGGUUUGAAAGGCCUUUUUUUGGGAAAGAAAAGCAGCAGGUUAAUACCCCGCUGUUCUGACGGUACCCAAAGAAUAAGCGCCGGCUAACUUCGUG
RNAcentral lists this ribosomal RNA (492 nucleotides) under uncultured bacterium. RNAcentral's name for it is "partial 16S ribosomal RNA". It matches the Rfam family "Bacterial small subunit ribosomal RNA", at positions 29 to 507 of the family's 1533-position model. The record is from RNAcentral.